GACGAACGCUGGCGGCGUGCUUAACACAUGCAAGUCGAACGGAAAGGCCCUGCUUUUGUGGGGUGCUCGAGUGGCGAACGGGUGAGUAACACGUGAGUAACCUGCCCUUGACUUUGGGAUAACUUCAGGAAACUGGGGCUAAUACCGGAUAGGAGCUCCUGCUGCAUGGUGGGGGUUGGAAAGUUUCGGCGGUUGGGGAUGGACUCGCGGCUUAUCAGCUUGUUGGUGGGGUAGUGGCUUACCAAGGCUUUGACGGGUAGCCGGCCUGAGAGGGUGACCGGCCACAUUGGGACUGAGAUACGGCCCAGACUCCUACGGGAGGAAGCAGUGGGGAAUAUUGCACAAUGGGCGGAGGCCGGAUGCAGCAACGCCGCGUGCGGGAGGACGGCCUUCGGGUUGUAAACCGCUUUCGCCUGUGACGAAGCGUGAGUGACGGUAAUGGGUAAAGAAGCACCGGCUAACUACGU
This 467-nucleotide ribosomal RNA is filed under the name uncultured bacterium. RNAcentral describes it as "partial 16S ribosomal RNA". It matches the Rfam family "Bacterial small subunit ribosomal RNA", at positions 28 to 506 of the family's 1533-position model. The record is from RNAcentral.